GAGUUUNAUCCUGGCUCAGGACGAACGCUGGCGGCGUGCCUAAUACAUGCAAGUCGAACGCACGAAGUUGAAGAGCUUGCUCUUUAACCAAGUGAGUGGCGGACGGGUGAGUAACACGUGGGUAACCUGCCCAUUAGAGGGGGAUAACAUUCGGAAACGGAUGCUAAUACCGCAUAGUUUCAGGAAUCGCAUGAUUCUUGAAGGAAAGGUGGCUUCGGCUACCACUAAUGGAUGGACCCGCGGCGUAUUAGCUAGUUGGUGAGGUAAUGGCUCACCAAGGCAAUGAUACGUAGCCGACCUGAGAGGGUGAUCGGCCACACUGGGACUGAGACACGGCCCAGACUCCUACGGGAGGCAGCAGUAGGGAAUCUUCCGCAAUGGACGAAAGUCUGACGGAGCAACGCCGCGUGAGUGAAGAAGGUUUUCGGAUCGUAAAACUCUGUUGUUAAAGAAGAACAAGGAUGAGAGUAACUGCUCAUCCCCUGACGGUAUUUAACCAGAAAGCCACGGCCAACUACGUGCCAGCAGCCGCGGUAAUACGUAGGUGGCGAGUGUUGUCCGGAUUUAUUGGGCGUAAAGCGAGCGCAGGCGGUUCUUUAAGUCUGAUGUGAAAGCCCCCCGCUCAACCGGGGAGGGUCAUUGGAAACUGGAGAACUUGAGUGCAGAAGAGGAGAGUGGAAUUCCACGUGUAGCGGUGAAAUGCGUAGAUAUGUGGAGGAACACCAGUGGCGAAGGCGACUCUCUGGUCUGUAACUGACGCUGAGGCUCGAAAGCGUGGGGAGCAAACAGGAUUAGAUAC
Molecule: ribosomal RNA, 799 nt
Filed under: uncultured bacterium
Lineage: Bacteria
Description: bacterial SSU rRNA
Rfam family: Bacterial small subunit ribosomal RNA
Source: RNAcentral